ACUUGCUUGAGUUUUCCAGUUGAAAAAAAUUUGAUACUCAUCAAAAGGAAUUAAAGAUGUCCAUCAUCUCACCAACUCUUUUAAUUUUUCUAUUUCUCAUUUUUGGAGCAGGUCCAAUGGUGGUAGCAAACAAAGACACAAUACCAAAAAGGCCAUGCUUGGUUACUGCUUUGGGCACCUGUGGCACAAGUUGUGACCAACCAUGUUGUAAACAAAAAUGUAUUGACAAGUUCCAGGAAAAAUAUUCAGAUUCAAUUUGUCAAUUUCUGAGUGGAAGUAAAGCUCGUUUAUGCAAUUGUUACCAUGAUUGUUAAUUAAUUAAUGUGAGAUUAAUGUUGUUCAUGUUUUAGAAAAAUGAAAUGUGAUAUAUCACAUGGUUAUUGUUAUUGGUGGUUUUAAUGUCAUUGUUCAAAUUAUUCUCUUCGUAUAA
Long non-coding RNA from Capsicum annuum, 430 nucleotides. RefSeq lists it as uncharacterized. NCBI's taxonomy places the organism in Eukaryota, Viridiplantae, Streptophyta, Magnoliopsida, Solanales, Solanaceae. The transcript is spliced from 2 exons. The record is from RefSeq and is a predicted model, not a curated record.